This 177-nucleotide non-coding RNA is filed under the name uncultured Alistipes sp. Lineage: Bacteria; Pseudomonadati; Bacteroidota; Bacteroidia; Bacteroidales; Rikenellaceae. The record is from RNAcentral.
ACAGAUUCGGUUUCCCCCUCUUUACGCGAGGAGGUGGGAUGAAAAGGGAAUCGGGUGAAAAUCCCGGACAGUCCCGCUGCUGUGAAACUUCGCGAAGUUCCGAAUAUCUCCGCCACUGACCCGCCCGGGUCGGGAAGGCUUCGGAACAGGAGUCAGUCAGAAGACCUGCCGGAUCGA